RNAcentral lists this transfer RNA (74 nucleotides) under Araneus ventricosus. Its description in RNAcentral is "tRNA-Thr". The record is from RNAcentral. Lineage: Eukaryota; Metazoa; Arthropoda; Arachnida; Araneae; Araneidae.
AGACACCGGCGAGAUUCGAACUCGCGAUCUCCUGUUUACAAGACAGGCGCUUUAACCAACUAAGCCACGGCGCC